Molecule: ribosomal RNA, 308 nt
Filed under: uncultured bacterium
Lineage: Bacteria
Description: partial 16S ribosomal RNA
Rfam family: Bacterial small subunit ribosomal RNA
Source: RNAcentral
GAGACAGCAGUCGCCGCGGUAAAACGUAGGUGGCAAGCGUUGUCCGGAAUUAUUGGGCGUAAAGCGCGCGCAGGCGGAUCAGUUAGUCUGUCUUAAAAGUUCGGGGCUUAACCCCGUGAGGGGAUGGAAACUGCUGAUCUAGAGUAUCGGAGAGGAAAGUGGAAUUCCUAGUGUAGCGGUGAAAUGCGUAGAUAUUAGGAAGAACACCAGUGGCGAAGGCGACUUUCUGGACGAAAACUGACGCUGAGGCGCGAAAGCCAGGGGAGCGAACAGGAUUAGAUACCCCAGUAGUCCCUGUCUCUUAUACA